GGGUGUUAGCUCAGCUGGUUAGAGCGCCGGCCUGUCACGUCGGAGGUCGCGGGUUCAAGUCCCGCACAU
This 69-nucleotide transfer RNA is filed under the name uncultured Olsenella sp. It matches the Rfam family "tRNA", at positions 5 to 66 of the family's 71-position model. From Rfam's summary of the family: Transfer RNA (tRNA) molecules are approximately 80 nucleotides in length. Their secondary structure includes four short double-helical elements and three loops (D, anti-codon, and T loops). Lineage: Bacteria; Bacillati; Actinomycetota; Coriobacteriia; Coriobacteriales; Atopobiaceae. The record is from RNAcentral. RNAcentral also lists the same sequence under 2 other names.